Molecule: ribosomal RNA, 301 nt
Filed under: uncultured bacterium
Lineage: Bacteria
Description: partial 16S ribosomal RNA
Rfam family: Bacterial small subunit ribosomal RNA
Source: RNAcentral
CAGCAGCCACGGUAAUACGUAGGUGGCAAGCGUUGUCCGGAAUUAUUGGGCGUAAAGGGCUCGCAGGCGGUUUCUUAAGUCUGAUGUGAAAGCCCCCGGCUCAACCGGGGAGGGUCAUUGGAAACUGGGAAACUUGAGUGCAGGAGAGGAGAGUGGAAUUCCACGUGUAGCGGUGAAAUGCGUAGAGGUGUGGAGGAACACCAGUGGCGAAGGCGACUCUCUGGUCUGUAACUGACGCUGAGGAGCGAAAGCGUGGGGAGCGAACAGGAUUAGAUACCCGUGUAGUCCCUGUCUCUUAUAC